Molecule: ribosomal RNA, 432 nt
Filed under: uncultured bacterium
Lineage: Bacteria
Description: partial 16S ribosomal RNA
Rfam family: Bacterial small subunit ribosomal RNA
Source: RNAcentral
AACGAACGCUGGCGGCAUGCCUAACACAUGCAAGUCGAACGAGACCUUCGGGUCUAGUUGCGCACGGGUGCGUAACGCGUGGGAAGCUGCCCUUAGGUUCGGGAUACCUCCCUUACGGGGUGCUAAUCGCAGAUAAUGUCUUCCGACCAAAGAUUUCUCGCCUUUGGAUGGGGCCGCGUUGGAUUAGCUCGUUGGUAGGGUAAAAGCCUACCAAGGCGUCGGUCCAUAGCUGGUCUGAGAGGAUGAUCAGCCACACUGGGGCUGAGACACUGCCCAGACUCCUACGGGAUGCAGCAGUGGGGAAUAUUGGGCAACGGGGGAAAGCCUGAUCCAGCAAGGCUGCGUGAGUGAUGAAGGCGGUAGGGUUGUAAAGCUGUUUUACCCGGGAUGAUAAUGACAGUACCGGGAGAAUAAGCACCGGCUAACUCCGUG